Molecule: ribosomal RNA, 443 nt
Filed under: uncultured bacterium
Lineage: Bacteria
Description: partial 16S ribosomal RNA
Rfam family: Bacterial small subunit ribosomal RNA
Source: RNAcentral
CCUACGGGUGGCAGCAGUGAGGAAUAUUGGUCAAUGGGCGCAAGCCUGAACCAGCCACGUCGCGUGAAGGAUGACGGCCCUACGGGUUGUAACCUUCUUUUUACGGGGCGAAACAAAAGACGGUACCUGUCGAAUAAGCCACGGCUAACUACGUGCCAGCAGCCGCGGUAAUACGUAGGUGGCAAGCGUUAUCCGGAUUUACUGGGUGUAAAGGGCGUGUAGGCGGGAUGGCAAGUCAGAUGUGAAAUCCGCGGGCUCAACCCCGGAACUGCAUUUGAAACUGUUUGUCUUGAGUGACGGAGAGGCAGGCGGAAUUCCGAGUGUAGCGGUGAAAUGCGUAGAUAUGAGGAGGAACACCAGUGGCGAAGGCGGCCUGCUGGACGACAACUGACGGUGAGGCGCGAAAGCGUGGGGAGCAAACAGGAUUAGAUACCCGGGUAGUC